UACAGAGGUCUCAAGCGUUGUUCGGAAUUACUGGGCGUAAAGGGUGCGCAGGCCGCGCGGGCAGUCAAAUGUGUAAUCCAGGGGCUCAACCCCUGAACUGCGCUUGAUACUUCCGCGCUCGAGCUUUGGAGAGGAGUCUGGAAUUCUCGGUGUAGCAGUGAAAUGCGUAGAUAUCGUGAGGAAGACCAGUGGCGAAGGCGGGUCUCUGGACAGUUCCUGACACUGAGGCACGAAGGCUAGGGGAGCAAACGGG
RNAcentral lists this ribosomal RNA (253 nucleotides) under uncultured bacterium. RNAcentral describes it as "partial 16S ribosomal RNA". It matches the Rfam family "Bacterial small subunit ribosomal RNA", at positions 524 to 776 of the family's 1533-position model. The record is from RNAcentral.